This 583-nucleotide ribosomal RNA is filed under the name uncultured bacterium. Its description in RNAcentral is "partial 16S ribosomal RNA". It matches the Rfam family "Bacterial small subunit ribosomal RNA", at positions 355 to 935 of the family's 1533-position model. The record is from RNAcentral.
UGGGGAAUUUUGGACAAUGGGCGAAAGCCUGAUCCAGCAAUGCCGCGUGUGUGAAGAAGGCCUUCGGGUUGUAAAGCACUUUUGUCCGGAAAGAAAUCCUUGGCUCUAAUACAGUCGGGGGAUGACGGUACCGGAAGAAUAAGCACCGGCUAACUACGUGCCAGCAGCCGCGGUAAUACGUAGGGUGCAAGCGUUAAUCGGAAUUACUGGGCGUAAAGCGUGCGCAGGCGGUUUGCUAAGACCGAUGUGAAAUCCCCGGGCUCAACCUGGGAACUGCAUUGGUGACUGGCAGGCUAGAGUAUGGCAGAGGGGGGUAGAAUUCCACGUGUAGCAGUGAAAUGCGUAGAGAUGUGGAGGAAUACCGAUGGCGAAGGCAGCCCCCUGGGCCAAUACUGACGCUCAUGCACGAAAGCGUGGGGAGCAAACAGGAUUAGAUACCCUGGUAGUCCACGCCCUAAAACGAUGUCAACUAGUUGUUGGGGAUUCAUUUCCUUAGUAACGUAGCUAACGCGUGAAGUUGACCGCCUGGGGAGUACGGUCGCAAGAUUAAAACUCAAAGGAAUUGACGGGGUCAUAGCUGUUU